AAAAGGUGUUCCCUUGCUCUAGUCAUCAGUAUGUAUUGCUUGUGGGUGAUCAAUCCACCACUCAACACCAAGAAGCAUGAGCCGAUAUGUAUCUGAUGAAAGACUACUACAUCAAUAACACUUUCCAUAUCUUUCUCAUAUAAACGAACAGAGACCACACAGCAAGCCACGCUGAUAUAUAUAGCAACAUCACACCGGAACCCACAAGAGAGGCAGCUCCAGAUAAACUGCUAUCUCUGGUUAGCAGGAGGAUGGUCAAUGCAAUCAUCUGGGUGGCAGUUUUCCAUUUCCCGAGGUUAUUCACAGCUACAGCCUCUGAAAGUUUACCACCCUGAGAAGCCGCCCAUUCUCUAACUGCAGACAUAGUUAUCUACAAAAAGAUUUGCAAAAUGAAUCAAAAAACAGUGUUUAUCACUCAUCCACAAUGA
This 428-nucleotide unclassified non-coding RNA is filed under the name Hevea brasiliensis (rubber tree). The record is from RNAcentral. Lineage: Eukaryota; Viridiplantae; Streptophyta; Magnoliopsida; Malpighiales; Euphorbiaceae.